AUUGAACGCUGGCGGCAGGCCUAACACAUGCAAGUCGAGCGGAUGAAGGGAGCUUGCUCCUGGAUUCAGCGGCGGACGGGUGAGUAAUGCCUAGGAAUCUGCCUGGUAGUGGGGGAUAACGUCUGGAAACGGGCGCUAAUACCGCAUACGUCCUGAGGGAGAAAGUGGGGGAUCUUCGGACCUCACGCUAUCAGAUGAGCCUAGGUCGGAUUAGCUAGUUGGUGGGGUAAAGGCCUACCAAGGCGACGAUCCGUAACUGGUCUGAGAGGAUGAUCAGUCACACUGGAACUGAGACACGGUCCAGACUCCUACGGGAGGCAGCAGUGGGGAAUAUUGGACAAUGGGCGAAAGCCUGAUCCAGCCAUGCCGCGUGUGUGAAGAAGGUCUUCGGAUUGUAAAGCACUUUAAGUUGGGAGGAAGGGCAGUAAGUUAAUACCUUGCUGUUUUGACGUUACCAGCAGAAUAAGCACCGGCUAACUUCGUG
RNAcentral lists this ribosomal RNA (484 nucleotides) under uncultured bacterium. Its description in RNAcentral is "partial 16S ribosomal RNA". It matches the Rfam family "Bacterial small subunit ribosomal RNA", at positions 30 to 507 of the family's 1533-position model. The record is from RNAcentral.